RNAcentral lists this ribosomal RNA (396 nucleotides) under uncultured bacterium. Its description in RNAcentral is "partial 16S ribosomal RNA". It matches the Rfam family "Bacterial small subunit ribosomal RNA", at positions 338 to 732 of the family's 1533-position model. The record is from RNAcentral.
CCUACGGGGGGCAGCAGUGAGGAAUAUUGGUCAAUGGUCGGAAGGCUGAACCAGCCAAGUCGCGUGAGGGAGGACGGCCCUGUGUGUUGUAAACCUCUUUUAUAAGGGAAGAAUAAAUGCUACGUGUAGCAUGAUGCGUGUACCUUAUGAAUAAGCAUCGGCUAACUCCGUGCCAGCCGCCGCGGUAAUACGGAGGAUGCGAGCGUUAUCCGGAUUUAUUGGGUUUAAAGGGUGCGUAGGCGGUUUUUUAAGUUAGUGGUUAAAGGUCGGGGCUAAACCUUGAUUUGCCGUUGAUACUGUCAGACUCGAGUUCAGACGAGGUAGGCGGAAUAAGUUGAGUAGCGGUGAAAUGCUUAGAUAUCACGUAGAACUCCGAUAGCGAAGGCAGCUUACCGG